AACCCAUGGUGAGGGAACCUUCUCAAUAAAUCUUUGUAUCUCUCCCAUCCAUCAUAAAAUGUUUCUAAAUCCAUUUGUACAAAAGAAGAGAUAUCAUUCCUCAAUUU
RNAcentral lists this small nucleolar RNA (107 nucleotides) under Gossypium hirsutum (cotton). Its description in RNAcentral is "Plant small nucleolar RNA R71". It matches the Rfam family "Plant small nucleolar RNA R71". From Rfam's summary of the family: R71 is a member of the C/D box family of snoRNAs containing the C (UGAUGA) and D (CUGA) box motifs. Multiple nearly identical copies of this snoRNA have been identified in Arabidopsis, and it is thought to function as a 2'-O-ribose methylation guide for 18S ribosomal RNA. Lineage: Eukaryota; Viridiplantae; Streptophyta; Magnoliopsida; Malvales; Malvaceae. The record is from Rfam by way of RNAcentral.